AUCUACGGCCAUGCUACCCUGAACAAGCCCAAUCCUGUCUGAUCUUGGAAACUAAGCAGGGUAGGGCCUGGUUAGUACUUGGAUGGGAGACCACCUAGGAAGACCAGGUGAUAUAGGCA
Molecule: ribosomal RNA, 119 nt
Filed under: Pteropus alecto (black flying fox)
Lineage: Eukaryota; Metazoa; Chordata; Mammalia; Chiroptera; Pteropodidae
Source: RNAcentral